CUACGGGUCGCUGCAGUGGGGAAUAUUGCACAAUGGGCGCAAGCCUGAUGCAGCCAUGCCGCGUGUAUGAAGAAGGCCUUCGGGUUGUAAAGUACUUUCAGCGGGGAGGAAGGGAGUAAAGUUAAUACCUUUGCUCAUUGACGUUACCCGCAGAAGAAGCACCGGCUAACUCCGUGCCAGCAGCCGCGGUAAUACGGAGGGUGCAAGCGUUAGUCGGAAUUACUGGGCGUAAAGCGCACGCAGGCGGUUUGUUAAGUCAGAUGUGAAAUCCCCGGGCUCAACCUGGGAACUGCAUCUGAUACUGGCAGGCUAGAGUCUCGUAGAGGGGAGUAGAAUUCCAGGUGUAGCGGUGAAAUGCGUAGAGAUCUGGAGGAAUACCGGUGGCGAAGGCGGCCCCCUGGACGAAGACUGACGCUCAGGUGCGAAAGCGUGGGGAGCAAACAGGAUUAGAUACCCCCGUAGUC
Molecule: ribosomal RNA, 464 nt
Filed under: uncultured bacterium
Lineage: Bacteria
Description: partial 16S ribosomal RNA
Rfam family: Bacterial small subunit ribosomal RNA
Source: RNAcentral